GCGGACGUGGCUCAGCGGUAGAGUAUUGGCUUCCCAAGCCGAGGAUCGCGAGUUCGAAUCUCGUCGUCCGCUCCA
This 75-nucleotide transfer RNA is filed under the name Desulfosporosinus sp. Its description in RNAcentral is "tRNA-Gly". It matches the Rfam family "tRNA". Rfam says of the family: Transfer RNA (tRNA) molecules are approximately 80 nucleotides in length. Their secondary structure includes four short double-helical elements and three loops (D, anti-codon, and T loops). Lineage: Bacteria; Bacillati; Bacillota; Clostridia; Eubacteriales; Desulfitobacteriaceae. The record is from RNAcentral. RNAcentral also lists the same sequence under 2 other names.